UAGCUCAGAUGGUAAAGCAUCUGCCUGCAGUGCAGGAGACUUGGGUUCGAUCCCUAA
RNAcentral lists this transfer RNA (57 nucleotides) under Bos taurus (domestic cattle). It matches the Rfam family "tRNA", at positions 8 to 63 of the family's 71-position model. Rfam says of the family: Transfer RNA (tRNA) molecules are approximately 80 nucleotides in length. Their secondary structure includes four short double-helical elements and three loops (D, anti-codon, and T loops). The record is from Rfam by way of RNAcentral. RNAcentral also lists the same sequence under 5 other names. Lineage: Eukaryota; Metazoa; Chordata; Mammalia; Artiodactyla; Bovidae.